Molecule: small nucleolar RNA, 102 nt
Organism: Nomascus leucogenys (northern white-cheeked gibbon)
Lineage: Eukaryota; Metazoa; Chordata; Mammalia; Primates; Hylobatidae
Product: small nucleolar RNA U13
Source: RefSeq, a predicted model, not a curated record
AUCCUUUUGUGGGUCAUACACAUGAUGAUUGGGUGUUCACGCACAAGUAUGAGAUGUGCCACUUUUUUUUUUUUUUUUUUGAGACGGAGUCUUGCUCUGUCG